Long non-coding RNA from Cucumis sativus (cucumber), 851 nucleotides. RefSeq lists it as uncharacterized. NCBI's taxonomy places the organism in Eukaryota, Viridiplantae, Streptophyta, Magnoliopsida, Cucurbitales, Cucurbitaceae. The transcript has 2 exons. The record is from RefSeq and is a predicted model, not a curated record.
ACAAAAAGCAAAACAUUUUUUCUAUGGUUUGUAAUUUUCGUAUCGUGUCUGAUGUUGGAACGGUUCAAUCAAAUCAAAUCUCCUAUGAAUUGGGUCUUUUAAUUUGAUUGAGCCGUGCCAAUAUCGACCAUUGUCGUAAACUUUUCUUAUUACUUAGAAACCAUAUAUUUUUGUUCUUACUAUUCUUACAUUUAAUCUUUCAUUUUCUCCUUCAACAUAGCUUAGAAACAAUAUCUUUAGCUUUUGUUAUUAUUACAUAUAAUCUUUUGUUUUCUCCUUUAUAACAUGGCUUAGAGAUGAGGCUCUUUUCUAUAUGGGGAUCCCAAGAGUGGAUAAGAUGAGAUGAACAAGGACAGACUCCAUGUUGUACCCUUUUGCUUUGCUAUGGCCUCUAGAUCAGAUGUCUGUGGUUUUAUUAAAAUAGCAAAACAAAACAACAUUUGACAGAAGCUGACGUUCUUCCAAAAUCAGCAGCUAUGAACGUCCUGAAGAGACCGUUGAGUGUAUAAAACACGAAGCUGAGAAGAAGCUACCAAAACUCAGGCUCUGAAAACUGUGUGUUUUCUUUUCUACAGAAGUACUAAGAAGGAAGAAUUUACUGUCCUUUGUUAAUAGAAACAAAUGUACAAUGUGAAAGAAGGAAAGUGCAGAAGAAGAAGACAAUUACUCCCAGCCAAACCAUCAUCAUUGUUAUUUCUUUUCCUGUCAUAAAGGACAAGAGAAAAGGCCGGCUUUCUUCUAAUUCAAAUAGAUUGUAUUGGUGGGUUUAUUCACUCUCACAAAUUCUAUAUGUAAUAGCCAAAAUAAUAUUCCCACACUUUCAUAAGCAGUACUUCUACGUUCUACUUUCA